AUUUAGGUGAUCAAGGAUUUGUCACCCGGACGUAAGAAAUUGGAAAGCAUAUUGCUAUGAUUAAGACCACUAGGAGCAGGGAGCUUGAUGUUAUUCAGGGUUGGGGUAAUUGAAAAUGUUAUGUAAUAAUCAGAUUUUAGAAGCUCUGUACUGUACCAACUUCAUGAACAAUGUUAUGACAUUAGUAAAUGAAACUAUUUAUUUUUAUUAUGAAA
Non-coding RNA from Phoenix dactylifera (date palm), 215 nucleotides. Lineage: Eukaryota; Viridiplantae; Streptophyta; Magnoliopsida; Arecales; Arecaceae. The record is from RefSeq and is a predicted model, not a curated record.